CACUUUGCACAGGGGCAGUAUUGUAGCCAAUGAGGUUUAUUUGAGGCGUGAUUGACUAUUGCUGAUUGAAACCUUUCCUCCCUGCCCUGUGGCGACUUGCAAUAUAGUCAGCAAUGGCAAUUUUUGACAGUCUCUCCAGAGA
Molecule: small nuclear RNA, 142 nt
Organism: Nycticebus coucang (slow loris)
Lineage: Eukaryota; Metazoa; Chordata; Mammalia; Primates; Lorisidae
Product: U4 spliceosomal RNA
Exons: 1
Source: RefSeq, a predicted model, not a curated record